GAUUAACGCUGGCGGCGUGCAUAAACAUGCAAGUCGAGCGCGGUGCGACUUCGGUCGCAUCUAGCGGCGCACGGGUGAGUAACACGUGAGCAACCUACCUUGGAGUCCGGGAUAGCCCUGAGAAAUCAGGAUUAAUACCGGAUGAUGUCAUCACCAGGCAUCUGGAGAUGAGAAAAGGCGCAAGCCGUUCCAAGACGGGCUCGCGGCCUAUUAGCUAGUUGGUGGGUAACGG
Molecule: ribosomal RNA, 232 nt
Filed under: uncultured bacterium
Lineage: Bacteria
Description: partial 16S ribosomal RNA
Rfam family: Bacterial small subunit ribosomal RNA
Source: RNAcentral